AACUCCCUUCGGCUGCCGAACCUGGUUUCUGCCAAAGGGCAGAAACUUGGCUCCCUUAAGCAUUUUGCCUAUAAACUCACCAAUCAUGCAUAAACUUGUUCUAAAACAUGCAUAAACACCAUACAUCAGACCUAGGGGUCUCAAACUAUCAAAUACCCCAACUACAACACUUCAAGCAUGCUCAAACAACAUACAUUGUUCAUCAAAACAUAAAAACCCAUAAACUCAUCAACAAGCCUAAACAUGCAUCUCUACCCAUAAAACAACUUAAAACUUACUUAAAACACAUGAGGAGCUUAAGAUCGGCUCUUACCUCUUGAAGAUCGAGAGGGAGACGACCUAAACUUGGAGAUCCACGAAAAUGAGCUCCUGAGUUCCCAAAGCUCCAAAACUUGGUUUAAAUGCUCAAAACUUGCAAUGUGAGUUCAAGACUCAAGGAAAAUGGAAGAGAUUUGGAGGAAGAACACAAGAUUUGCAAAGGGAAGGUCGGAAGCUUGCUGUGGCCGAAAAUGGGAGAAAGCUCGCCCAUUUCGGCUAAGUGCCCCUUUUAUAGGUGGCUGGCCAGGCCACGUUCGGGGGCCGAAUGUGC
This 589-nucleotide long non-coding RNA is filed under the name Manihot esculenta (cassava). RNAcentral's name for it is "long non-coding RNA (MESC_LNC010223)". Lineage: Eukaryota; Viridiplantae; Streptophyta; Magnoliopsida; Malpighiales; Euphorbiaceae. The record is from RNAcentral.